Molecule: ribosomal RNA, 685 nt
Filed under: uncultured archaeon
Lineage: Archaea
Description: bacterial SSU rRNA
Rfam family: Archaeal small subunit ribosomal RNA
Source: RNAcentral
UUGUUGUGAGUAAGGCCCGCCAAGGCUAUAACAGGUACGGGCUCUGAGAGGAGGGGCCCGGAGAUGGGUACUGAGACACGGACCCAGGCCCUAUGGGGCGCAGCAGGCGAGAAACCUUUGCAAUGUGCGAAAGCACGACAAGGUUAAUCCGAGUGUCUCCUGCUAAAGGAGUCUUUUGUCAGUUGUAGAAUCACUGGUGAAUAAGGGGUGGGCAAGUUCUGGUGUCAGCCGCCGCGGUAAAACCAGCACCUCGAGUGGUCAGGAGGUUUAUUGGGCCUAAAGCAUCCGUAGCCGGUUGCAUAAGUUUUCGGUUAAAUCUAUGCGCUUAACGUAUAGGCCGCCGAAAAUACUGUGCAGCUAGGGAGUGGGAGAGGUACACGGUACUCGAUAGGAAGGGGUAAAAUCCUUUGAUCUAUUGAAGACCACCUGUGGCGAAGGCGGUGUACCAGAACACGUUCGACGGUGAGGGAUGAAAGCUGGGGGAGCAAACCGGAUUAGAUACCCGGGUAGUCCCAGCUGUAAACGAUGCAGACUCGGUGAUGCAUUGGCUUGUGGCCAAUGCAGUGCCGCAGGGAAGCCGUUAAGUCUGCCGCCUGGGAAGUACGUACGCAAAUAUGAAACUUAAAGGAAUUGGCGGGGGAGCACCACAAGGGGUGAAGCUGCGGUUCAAUUGGAGUCAACGCUG